ACGCGAAGGACAGUGCAGCUUGUUAUGCCAUUAACUGCGUCGGACAAAAGUCUUUCGUUCAAUUGAUGUGUUCUAAUCUUGCAGGAGUUGGAUGUUUGUGCAGGAAUACUGAUAUCUUUAGAGCAUCCCUCAGCUGGUUUAAGUGUUCUCUGUUCUGUGAGAGUGAAGGACUUUAUAUGCAUGGCGAUUAUGAACUAUAUGAUCCAAAUAAAGCAUGUAGUGGAAUUGGCGCCCCCAUAGGAACAAUGUAUGCUUGGAUCGGAAUAGCAAAAGAAAUGUAUAUAACAUCAUAUUUAGGCCCUAUUGAGAUUUAUUUUCUUGUAUUGCAAUGUACAAGUUGUCAGUAUAAUAGAUGUAAUCUUGGAUCUUGUUCGAGUAAGAAGUAUGCUGUUUGC
Long non-coding RNA from Saccostrea cuccullata (small rock oyster), 395 nucleotides. RefSeq lists it as uncharacterized. The transcript is spliced from 3 exons. Lineage: Eukaryota; Metazoa; Mollusca; Bivalvia; Ostreida; Ostreidae. The record is from RefSeq and is a predicted model, not a curated record.